UACGUAGGGUGCGAGCGUUGUCCGGAAUUAUUGGGCGUAAAGAGCUCGUAGGCGGUCUGUCGCGUCGGAUGUGAAAACACGGGGCUCAACCCCGUGCCUGCAUUCGAUACGGGCAGACUAGAGUUCGGUAGGGGAGACUGGAAUUCCUGGUGUAGCGGUGAAAUGCGCAGAUAUCAGGAGGAACACCGGUGGCGAAGGCGGCAUCCUGGACCGACACUGACACUGAGGAGCGAAAGCCAGGGGAGCAAACGGG
This 253-nucleotide ribosomal RNA is filed under the name uncultured bacterium. RNAcentral's name for it is "partial 16S ribosomal RNA". It matches the Rfam family "Bacterial small subunit ribosomal RNA", at positions 524 to 776 of the family's 1533-position model. The record is from RNAcentral.